RNAcentral lists this ribosomal RNA (253 nucleotides) under uncultured bacterium. RNAcentral's name for it is "partial 16S ribosomal RNA". It matches the Rfam family "Bacterial small subunit ribosomal RNA", at positions 524 to 776 of the family's 1533-position model. The record is from RNAcentral.
UACGUAGGGGGCAAGCGUUGUCCGGAUUUAUUGGGCGUAAAGAGCGUGUAGGCGGCCAUGCAGGUCCGUUGUGAAAACUGGAGGCUUAACCUCCAGACGUCGAUGGAAACCGUAUGGCUAGAGUCCGGAAGAGGAGAGUGGAAUUCCUGGUGUAGCGGUGAAAUGCGCAGAUAUCAGGAAGAACACCCGUGGCUAAGGCGGCUCUCUAGUACGGUACUGACGCUGAGACGCGAAAGCGUGGGGAGCGAACAGG